AAGGGCUUAGCUUAAUUAAAGCGUUUGUUUUGCAUACAGGUGAUGCAGGUUGGUAUAUUUGCAGUCCU
RNAcentral lists this transfer RNA (68 nucleotides) under Toromys rhipidurus (Peruvian armored tree-rat). Its description in RNAcentral is "tRNA-Ala". Lineage: Eukaryota; Metazoa; Chordata; Mammalia; Rodentia; Echimyidae. The record is from RNAcentral.